Molecule: ribosomal RNA, 253 nt
Filed under: uncultured bacterium
Lineage: Bacteria
Description: partial 16S ribosomal RNA
Rfam family: Bacterial small subunit ribosomal RNA
Source: RNAcentral
UACGGGGGGGGCAAGCGUUGUUCGGAAUUACUGGGCGUAAAGGGCUCGUAGGCGGCCAACUAAGUCAGACGUGAAAUCCCCAGGCUCAACCUGGGAACUGCGUCUGAUACUGGAUGGCUUGAAUCCGGGAGAGGGAUGCAGAAUUCCAGGUGUAGCGGUGAAAUGCGUAGAUAUCUGGAGGAACACCGGUGGCGAAAGCGGCUCACUGGACCGUCUCUGGCGCUGAGGUGCGAAAGCCAGGGUAGCGAACGGG